GACCAUCCAUUUUCUAAUAAACUCUUCACUUUGGUGACCAUCAACUAAUCAUGGCAAAACAAAUUUACGCGUCAAUUUUGUUCAUCGUUCUCUUUUUUGCUCAAGAAAUGUCGAUACAAGUUGCGACAUCAAAAUGCAUACCCGAAAAUAAAAAUUUCCUAGGCCCAUGCACCUCUAACCUAGUUUGUCUUCAAAUUUGUCAAACACAAGGUUUUGAUGAUGGAGAAUGCAAUAUGACAAAUCUUCAUUGUACUUGCCUUAAAAGAUGCUCCGUGUCGAAGAAUGUUCACUUGGGUGAAGAGGAGGCUCCGGUCAAGACCUCAUCCAUGAAAGAAUAAAAAGCAUCGAGAAAUCUUUGUAUUAAGACUUAAGAUUGAAUUAAUAAAGAUUAUUUGCAACUGAUAUUUUAGAAGAA
Molecule: long non-coding RNA, 415 nt
Organism: Glycine soja
Lineage: Eukaryota; Viridiplantae; Streptophyta; Magnoliopsida; Fabales; Fabaceae
Exons: 2
Source: RefSeq, a predicted model, not a curated record